RNAcentral lists this ribosomal RNA (402 nucleotides) under uncultured bacterium. Its description in RNAcentral is "bacterial SSU rRNA". It matches the Rfam family "Bacterial small subunit ribosomal RNA", at positions 355 to 774 of the family's 1533-position model. The record is from RNAcentral.
UGGGGAAUAUUGGGCAAUGGAGGCAACUCUGACCCAGCCAUGCCGCGUGGGUGACGAAGGUCUUCGGAUUGUAAAGCCCUUUCGGCGGGGACGAUGAUGACGGUACCCGCAGAAGAAGCCCCGGCUAACUUCGUGCCAGCAGCCGCGGUAAUACGGAGGGUGCGAGCGUUAUCCGGAUUUACUGGGUUUAAAGGGUGCGUAGGUGGGCUUAUAAGUCAGUGGUGAAAUCUCCGAGCUUAACUUGGAAACUGCCGUUGAUACUAUAGGUCUUGAAUUAUCUGGAGGUAAGCGGAAUAUGUCAUGUAGCGGUGAAAUGCUUAGAUAUGACAUAGAACACCAAUUGCGAAGGCAGCUUACUACAUAUAAAUUGACGCUGAGGCACGAAAGCGUGGGGAUCAAACA